ACUUGCACAACGUGAUCGGAUGUCAUCUAUAUCCUCUUGUGGAAAUGGUGUUUUAUUGCUAGACGCUUAUAAUUUGAACAAAAUUUAAAUUAUGAUAAGAUAACUACAACAAUAAUAAAAUAACAAUUAUACAUAAAUUACAUGUAUAUGGAUAAAGUUAAUACCUUAUUCAAUGAAUUAAUAAUGCCAUUAGAGAAAAUAUUAGACAUAUGUAUCAUAGUAUUAUAUCGACAUAUAAAGUUCUGUGAUUAUCUUCGCUGCUACAAAUAAUUUCAUAUUGUUACUAAUUAAUACACACAAGACACAAGUAAUACAUUAGAGAAACUAAAAUAAUAUCAAAAAGCAUAAGUAAUACUUACACGUGGUUCUAUGAACUUUAGCUUUUUACCCUGUAUAUUACGUUUCACAAAUUGUAUCCCUCCAAAUCAUUACAUGAUGGUAAAAAUCAAACAUGAAUAAAACUUUUCAAGACUAAAGGUAAAAUUUGAGUAUUCCAAAUAAUACCACUUACGCACUUAAAAUCUUUUGUAUAUCUUCAUCAAGAUGACAAUGUAACCAGCAUAACAUAACUAUAAUAUUUUUCUUCUGACAUAAAAUAAUUAAUUGCAAAUGUUUGCUACAUAAAAACAUAGAAUAAUUACCAAUGUGUGUAUAAAUUGAUUUAUAAAUGAAAACACAAAUUAAAUCAUAUACUUAAUUAUGGAUAAAUUAUGACAUGUAAUAUCUUUUAUUCUCUUUAACCAACUUGUUUGUAUGCGUAUAUGGAUAUUGUUUGGUUAAAUUACCUUAAAAUUGAAUGUUCAAUGAAUCUAUGAAAUAAUAUGCUUUCAAUUUUCUUUCGACACUUGUCUCAUGCAUGACCCUAAUUAAAGGUAAUGCAAAUGUCAAAAUUUUAUGUUAAAGUAUGAGAACAAUGAAUUAGGGAAUCUCGUCUAUCAUACUAAAUAAUCUUUUUCAUUUCCAUUUAGUUAGAUUUGCAAAUAAGAGUGUUAGAUUACAUUAUUUUAUUUCCUCUGAAUACUAUGUUGUAUGAUAUAACAGAAGAAAUUAUUGUUUUAUUAGGGUGCUUGAGUAGAGGUUGUAUCUCGCUCCAACUGAAUUGAUAAAACAUCAUUCGUUUGUGAAACGUUUUUAGUCGCGCUGAGGAAGAAGUAAGAUUCAUGGGUUGAAAUUAUUUUAGGUUGAAGAUGAUAUUCGAAAGGAAAGAUAUACUCCUUUAUAGAUAAAAGUAAAAAUAAAAUUAGAGAGGAAAUGACUCGCUCGUAAUGAGCGUAUUGGCUCUCUGCAUUUUAAAACAGGGUUCUAGGGUCACAUCCUCUUCAAGUAAUUUCUUGACUAACAUGUAUCUCUAUUUAAGACUCAUAUAAAGUUUGAAUAAAAACUUUAUGACACAGGAAAGAAAAUUAUUAAUAGAAGAGGUAACAAGUCUGAAUGGAUAAAAUACAAAGAUUAUUAGUGAAAUAAAAUCUACUAAAGUACGAAUAUUCUGCUCUUACUACACACAAGUAACAUUUAAUAUUAAUCUCCAUAAAAAUUUCUUAUGGUUAUUAUAAAAAUAACAAUUAAUUAUAUCUCCAUAGUUUUUCAAAGGUUAUUAUAUGUGUAUUGAUAUUUUAUUUGUUUGCAUCUUUUAAAAGGUGAACAAGCGCCACCGUAACUAUUAAAAAGUAGAGAAAUAUAAAUUGAAGAAUGAGAAAGAUCAAUAGCUUAUAAUAUUAUAUAUAAAUAUAGAAGUAUAAAAUUGUAAGAAACUUUAAAUUAUUUUCAAUUUAUUUUUAAGAUACUUUGAGAGGUGAUAGGAUGGAAAAGAAAAUGUGAUAUGCAUAAAUUGAAGGUCAUGAAUAUUUCUCUAAAAUUUAAAGUGAAGAAGAUACUAAAAAUAUUAUUACUUGUUGUCCUAUUUCAUUUCAUUACAAUAAUACUAGUGUGAAAUCCACAACUAUAGGUUGUGAAAUAAAAUUUAAACAAAAAUAUAAUUAUUGGGGUAAAAUAAAUAUCCAAAUGACAUACGACAACACAUAAAAUAUAUUAGGUGUUUGCGUCUUCUCUAGGGACUUUCAAUUAAAAACUAAAUUUGUAAACUCUUAAAGGUAUUUAUUUAUCUCCUGGGAUUAAGCAAUCCACGCACUAUUUUACAUUUACAAUAAGUGUUGCUUAUGCAUUUUCCUCUAUAAGGAGGCCGGCAAUAUAUUUUAUUUUGAUAAUCUGAAUCAUCAAAACAUUCGAUUCUCUCUGCUGCAAUAAAAAAACACUAUAUGGUUAUUAAAAUGAAAAGAAAUAUAACGUAUGAAAUAAAACAGAACAUUUAAAAUGAAUGAACAAAAGUUACCUUUAAUUUUCGUUCCAAUAAAAAAUAGAAAGAAUAAUAUAAUCAUAACAUAAGGAAAAUUUAUUACUUCUACCAUAUUUCUCCUCGUUAUUUUUAAUAAAUUAUUUUGUAACUUUAUAGUUUAUGAAUAAGAGUGGAUCCUCGCCUUUAAUAAUUUUUACUUGUGGACACUUAGUUGUAAAAUAAAUCUUAAAAUUAAAUUAAUUAGUAUAUAACUUUUCGAUACAUCAUUUUGUUGUCUUUGUCUCUUCAGCAUAUCCAAAAAAGAUGUAAAAUAAAACUUGUCUAUCAUAAAAAUAUAUUCUUCUUAUAAAAAAUUUUUAAUCAUUUUAUAUUAUUUUACCUCGGAUGUGAAUGGGAGAUUACCUCAGUUAUAGAGAUGGGAUACCAAAGAGCGUCAUAAAAAACUAACAUCUUAUAGAUCGGUUUUGAAUAACCGAGGGGAAAGGUGAAAAAGUCAUUCAUUUGAUCCCCAGUGUAGGUCGGAUUUUUUUAAUAAUUGAGGGGUAUAACCAAUGUUUUUUAAAAUUCCAUUUUGACUGACCUUGAUCAUUUUCUAUAUAGAUCCUACAAAUUAGGUGACAGAAUCAUAUCAUUUGUAUUUUAUUUAGAAUAUAAAACAAAAUACCAAUUUUACAUUGUUUAUAAAAGCAAAUGUACAAUCCUUGCAAUACUUAUCGUGAUAUUUGAUAUACACAAAACCUAUUCCAAGAGAACCUAUACAUAUUUGCACCUAAAUUGACAAAACAUUUACACAAUGCUAGUGUAUAGUUAAAAAUCAAGAAAAACUAGUGUUGACUAGAUUCAUAAUGACAUAAGAAGACACUUGCACAACGUGAUCGGAUGUCAUCUAUAUCCUCUUGUGGAAAUGGUGUUUUAUUGCUAGACGCUUAUAAUUUGAACAAAAUUUAAAUUAUGAUAAGUUAACUACAACAAUAAUAAAUUAACAAUUAUACAUAAAUUACAUGUAUAUGGAUAAAGUUAAUACCUUAUUCAAUGAAUUAAUAAUGCCAUUAGAGAAAAUAUUAGACAUAUGUAUCAUAGUAUUAUAUCGACAUAUAAAGUUCUGUGAAUACAUAAAUUACAUGUAUAUGGAUAAAGUUAAUACCUUAUUCAAUGAAUUAAUAAUGCCAUUAGAGAAAAUAUUAGACAUAUGUAUCAUAGUAUUAUAUCGACAUAUAAAGUUCUGUGAUUAUCUUUGCUGCUACAAAUAAUUUUCAUAUUGUUACUAAUUAAUACACAAAAGACAUAAGUAAUACAUUAGAGAAACUAAAAUAAUAUCAAAAAGCAUAAGUAAUACUUACACGUGGUUCUAUGAACUUUAGCUUUUUACCCUGUAUAUUACGUUUCACAAAAUUGUAUCCCUCCAAAUCAUUACAUGAUGGUAAAAAUCAAACAUGAAUAAAACUUUUCAAAACUAAAGGUAAAAUUUGAGUAUUCCAAAUAAUACCACUUACGCACUUAAAAUCUUUUGUAUAUCUUCAUCAAGAUGACAAUGUAACCAGCAUAACAUAACUAUGAUAUUUUUCUUCUGACAUAAAAUAAUUAAUUGCAAAUGUUUGCUACAUAAAAACUUAGAAUAAUUAAUAAUGUGUGUAUAAAAUGAUUUAUAAAUGAAAACACAAAUUAAAUCAUAUACUUAAUUAUUGAUAAAUUAUGACAUGUAAUAUUCUUUAUUCUCUUUAACCAACUUGUUUGUAUGCGUAUAUGGAUAUUGUUUGUUAAAUUACCUUAAAAUUGAAUGUUCAAUGGAUCUAUGAAAUAAUAUGCUUUCAAUUUUCUUUCGACACUUGUCUCAUGCAUGACCCUAUUUAAAAAGUAAUGCAAAUGUCAAAAUUUUAUGUUAAAGUAUGAGAACGAUGAAUUAUGGAAUCUCGUCUAUCAUACUAAAUAAUCUUUUUCAUUUCCAUUUAGUUAGAUUUGCAAAUAAGAGUGUUAGAUUACAUUAUUUUAUUUCCUCUGAAUACUAUGUUGUAUGAUAUAA
Molecule: long non-coding RNA, 4313 nt
Filed under: Lathyrus oleraceus (garden pea)
Lineage: Eukaryota; Viridiplantae; Streptophyta; Magnoliopsida; Fabales; Fabaceae
Description: Pisum sativum (pea) long non-coding RNA (PSAT_LNC033631)
Source: RNAcentral